CUUUGCUUCUCAGUUUUAAUAUUGUGUGAACCUUUGCCCUACAGUGGUAUCAGAGCCACACUGAGGAGCACGAUACCUGGAUCUUGGAGAGUUUGGUGGAUCUUCAACAGAUUUGAAAUUUUUGGAACCGCUGAAAAGCAAAUUUGAAACAAUACGAGUUAUUGAACUUGCUUGGUGAGAUCUUUUCAAUUUACUGUAUAUUUCUUUUCAGAAAUCUGUGUUUCUUGAACUUUUCCUUAAUUUUUUAGUACACCAUUGAAAUCCCUUUGAGAUUAAUCUUUGUUCAGUAGCUCCUACGAGGCCCUUGGAAUAUGAGAUAAAUCAUGUACGGGCAUGUACUUUGGAGAAUUCUGUUGAAGGGAUCUGUGAAACCUUGUAUUUAAUCUCUGUGAUUGGUAUCUAUUGAUCGAUCUUGUCU
Molecule: long non-coding RNA, 418 nt
Filed under: Olea europaea subsp. europaea
Lineage: Eukaryota; Viridiplantae; Streptophyta; Magnoliopsida; Lamiales; Oleaceae
Source: RNAcentral